AAUAUUUGUUAAUAUAUCUCAAAACAGGCAAGAAGCUGGCCAAUCUCAAUAAAAGCACAUAGAAUGCUGCCAGAAUUCAAUUUGACCUGCAGUUCCAAUUCAUGUUUCCAGAAUGUACCACUGCACACUGUAAAUAAAGAGCCCUCCAUAUAAGAAGUGGGCUGGGAUCAGUCCAUGUCAGCCUGAGAGCCGACUCCUGUUCUGGGUUUCCAGAUGAAGCCAUGUUACAAUGAGAGCAGCUUGGCAUUAAGCUUGGAGAGCUGCCUGACCAUAAAGCUGAUGAGCGCCCAUCAUGCUUUGCGGCUGAGCUAGAGCUUGCUGUCUGCCGGAAGCAGCUGCUUUUCACACAAUAGGGCC
Molecule: non-coding RNA, 357 nt
Organism: Pelobates cultripes (western spadefoot toad)
Lineage: Eukaryota; Metazoa; Chordata; Amphibia; Anura; Pelobatidae
Source: the annotation of a GenBank genome assembly